CGGGGUUUUCGGGAAAUACGGUGAAGGAUUUCUAUGAACCAGUACGGCACAACCACCGGUGUUUCUGAACUAAAAAUCUGAAUCAGGGAGAGAGGCGGAGGAGUGCUUCGCAACCUCGAUGAGAACACAAACGCCUUUAGCCUCUUCAUUGAAUCCGAGCCCUUCAAUUUUAACAAGUUCUUCCUGCAAAUGAGCAUUUCCUGGGACUUUCAGAGCACCUGAGAACAGCUCCAUCAGCCACGUCAAAUGCUUCACAGCGGCGGUCAAUUACAUUCGGGCAUAUUUAAGAUUAGGAGAAAGCCAGGCGUCGCUUUUCUCCUCGCUCGCCUCAGGUGAGGCGGUUCAGAAACUCUUACGGCCACCGGUUGCUGUUUGUCCCCAGAGAGGGCUUAAAAGCUGAAUAACCCCCUCCCAAAAUGAUGACCAUAGGCGAAACCCCUCAGAACAUAUCUGCCCACAAAUUGCUUAACAAUCUCUAGGAUGAAGCAAGUUGCGCCAGGAUGCUCUCCGCAGCGAACCCUUCAGCCCCGUUCUCCGUGCCUCGAGGAAAGCUUUCCUCUGCCCUUGGCUGCCCACCGCGCAGAGGCGGAGGGGAGGGCUCGCUGCUUUGCUCUCAGCUCCCCCAGGGCGCCCGGUGCCCGCGCAGGGUACGAGGCCGGGCUGCGGGCUGCCCUCGGGGCAGGGGGUGCGCCCGGCGCCGGGAGGUGCCUGCCCCGAGCUGGUACCCCGGGCACAGCCCGGCACCCGGCGGUGUUUACCCAUGACUCAGGGCCAGGCGAGGGAUGCAAAGACUUCGCAAGGGCUUGUUGGUGCCGGGUCAUGUUGACCGAUUCCUGA
RNAcentral lists this long non-coding RNA (837 nucleotides) under Numida meleagris (helmeted guineafowl). RNAcentral describes it as "lncRNA (ENSNMEG00000023114.1)". The record is from RNAcentral. Lineage: Eukaryota; Metazoa; Chordata; Aves; Galliformes; Numididae.